This 484-nucleotide ribosomal RNA is filed under the name uncultured bacterium. Its description in RNAcentral is "partial 16S ribosomal RNA". It matches the Rfam family "Bacterial small subunit ribosomal RNA", at positions 30 to 507 of the family's 1533-position model. The record is from RNAcentral.
AUUGAACGCUGGCGGCAGGCCUAACACAUGCCAGUCGAGCGGAUGAAGGGAGCUUGCUCCUGGAUUCAGCGGCGGACGGGUGAGUAAUGCCUAGGAAUCUGCCUGGUAGUGGGGGAUAACGUCCGGAAACGGGCGUUAAUACCGCAUACGACCUGAGGGAGAAAGUGGGGGAUCUUCGGACCUCACGCUAUCAGAUGAGCCUAGGUCGGAUUAGCUAGUUGGUGGGGUAAAGGCCUACCAAGGCGACGAUCCGUAACUGGUCUGAGAGGAUGAUCAGUCACACUGGAACUGAGACACGGUCCAGACUCCUACGGGAGGCAGCAGUGGGGAAUAUUGGACAAUGGGCGAAAGCCUGAUCCAGCCAUGCCGCGUGUGUGAAGAAGGUCUUCGGAUUGUAAAGCACUUUAAGUUGGGAGGAAGGGCAGUAAGUUAAUACCUUGCUGUUUUGACGUUACCAACAGAAUAAGCACCGGCUAACUUCGUG